AGAGGUGGCAAGCGUUGUUCGGAAUUACUGGGCGUAAAGGGCGCGUAGGCGGCCUACUAAGUCAGACGUGAAAUCCCCCGGCUUAACCUGGGAACUGCGUCUGAUACUGGAAGGCUUGAGGAUGGGAGAGGGAUGUAGAAUUCCAGGUGUAGCGGUGAAAUGCGUAGAUAUCUGGAGGAAUACCGGUGGCGAAGGCGGCAUCCUGGACCAUCACUGACGCUGAGGCGCGAAAGCUAGGGGAGCAAACGGGAUUAGAUACCCCGGUAGUCCUAGCCCUAAACGAUGAAUACUUGGUGUGGCGGGUAUCGAUCCCUGCCGUGCCGAAGCUAACGCAUUAAGUAUUCCGCCUGGGAGUACGGUCGCAAGGCUG
This 370-nucleotide ribosomal RNA is filed under the name uncultured bacterium. Its description in RNAcentral is "bacterial SSU rRNA". It matches the Rfam family "Bacterial small subunit ribosomal RNA", at positions 527 to 896 of the family's 1533-position model. The record is from RNAcentral.